This 329-nucleotide long non-coding RNA is filed under the name Parus major (Great Tit). Its description in RNAcentral is "lncRNA (ENSPMJG00000013827.1)". The record is from RNAcentral. Lineage: Eukaryota; Metazoa; Chordata; Aves; Passeriformes; Paridae.
AAAACAGAAAACCACCCCUACCACCAGCGAAAUUGCUGUUGAGGAAGUUUUGUGUGAAGAGCAUGAAAUCCUUCUAUUGGCAAGCACUUGUUCCAAAGCUUCUGUUGCCUUCUGUUUUUACUGAAAAGUGUCUGCAAUGGUUGCCAGCAUUCUUCUGCUGCUGCAGUGGGCUUAAACCAUAGCAAGGUUGAAAUCGUGGUCAGGAUCAGACGUCCCCCAUUAGACACAUAGCACCUGAAUGAACAUAGACCUAAGGUCAUAGCAAGGAUAUAAACUAGUUAUCUGACUCCCUAUCUACCCAGGCAAUAAAGAGAUAAGAAUUAAAAGAA